UUUCCGUAGGUGAACCUGCGGAAGGAUCAUUACUGAAGUUUUGGCCGCAAGGCCACUCUUCCACCCUUUGUUUAUAACACCUUUGUUGCUUUGGCGGGCCGCCCUAGGCCACCGGCGUCAGCUGGUGCGCGCCCGCCAGAGGCCCAAACAACCUGUCUUAUAGUGUUUGUCUGAGUAAAAACUUAAUUGUUAAAACCUUCAACAAUGGAUCUCUUGGCUCUGGCAUCGAUGAAGAACGCAGC
RNAcentral lists this unclassified non-coding RNA (242 nucleotides) under uncultured fungus. RNAcentral's name for it is "sequence contains ITS1, 5.8S rRNA gene". The stretch from base 194 to 242 matches the Rfam family "5.8S ribosomal RNA", at positions 1 to 49 of the family's 154-position model. Lineage: Eukaryota; Fungi. The record is from RNAcentral.